AGCCGGGGUUUCUUUACCAGGUACCGUCAUUAUCUUCCCUGGCGAAAGAGCUUUACGACCCUAGGGCCUUCGUCACUCACGCGGCAUGGCUAGAUCAGGGUUUCCCCCAUUGUCUAAGAUUCCC
RNAcentral lists this ribosomal RNA (124 nucleotides) under uncultured bacterium. RNAcentral describes it as "partial 16S ribosomal RNA". The record is from RNAcentral.